RNAcentral lists this unclassified non-coding RNA (305 nucleotides) under Hevea brasiliensis (rubber tree). Lineage: Eukaryota; Viridiplantae; Streptophyta; Magnoliopsida; Malpighiales; Euphorbiaceae. The record is from RNAcentral.
GGACUAUAUUGGUGAAGACAGGACCCAGUGUUGGCGCUCAACACGACCCAUGUUGGUGAAGACAGGAAUUAAGCUGAAGUAACUUGGGAAGCAGCAUAAGAAAUGUGACUUUAUUUGAAAAUCGCUGCAUCCCUUAACUUUUCUCUUUGUUGCGACUGAUGAAGUAACAUGCCUCAGUCACUUCGUCUAAAAAUUAUUGUUUCUCUUAAAUUUUUUUGCCUACUUAACUUGAGAAGUAACACUGCCCAGUGUUAAAGUUCAGGAAGAUUUCAGCUUCUCUUCAAGCAUAAUUUCCUUAACUUCUU